GUCAGCCCAGCCCAAGUGCCACGGUCAUCCAAGGUAAGUGCGGCCAAAGGCCGCCGCCGUGGUCCCUCCCGCAAGGGAGGAGGGCUGGGUGGAGGA
This 96-nucleotide non-coding RNA is filed under the name unclassified sequences. RNAcentral's name for it is "DUF1874 RNA". It matches the Rfam family "DUF1874 RNA". Rfam says of the family: Hot springs metagenome only. Environment (Bison Hot Springs, Yellowstone) The record is from RNAcentral.